RNAcentral lists this ribosomal RNA (253 nucleotides) under uncultured bacterium. RNAcentral's name for it is "partial 16S ribosomal RNA". It matches the Rfam family "Bacterial small subunit ribosomal RNA", at positions 524 to 776 of the family's 1533-position model. The record is from RNAcentral.
UACGUAGGUGGCAAGCGUUGUCCGGAUUUACUGGGCGUAAAGAGCGCGCAGGCGGUCGUAUAAGUCGAAUGUGAAAGCCCCCGGCUUAACUGGGGAGGGUCAUUCGAUACUGUUCGACUUGAAGGCAGGAGAGGGCAGCAGAAUUCCAGGUGUAGCGGUGAAAUGCGUAGAUAUCUGGAGGAAUACCGGUGGCGAAGGCGGCAUCCUGGACCGGAAUUGACACUGAGGAGCGAAAGCCAGGGGAGCAAACGGG